This 1100-nucleotide small RNA is filed under the name Trichoderma harzianum. RNAcentral describes it as "eukaryotic LSU rRNA". The stretch from base 509 to 1100 matches the Rfam family "Eukaryotic large subunit ribosomal RNA", at positions 1 to 602 of the family's 3401-position model. Lineage: Eukaryota; Fungi; Ascomycota; Sordariomycetes; Hypocreales; Hypocreaceae. The record is from RNAcentral.
AUGUGAACGUUACCAAACUGUUGCCUCGGCGGGAUCUCUGCCCCGGGUGCGUCGCAGCCCCGGACCAAGGCGCCCGCCGGAGGACCAACCAAAACUCUUAUUGUAUACCCCCUCGCGGGUUUUUUUUAUAAUCUGAGCCUUCUCGGCGCCUCUCGUAGGCGUUUCGAAAAUGAAUCAAAACUUUCAACAACGGAUCUCUUGGUUCUGGCAUCGAUGAAGAACGCAGCGAAAUGCGAUAAGUAAUGUGAAUUGCAGAAUUCAGUGAAUCAUCGAAUCUUUGAACGCACAUUGCGCCCGCCAGUAUUCUGGCGGGCAUGCCUGUCCGAGCGUCAUUUCAACCCUCGAACCCCUCCGGGGGGUCGGCGUUGGGGAUCGGCCCUGCCUUGGCGGUGGCCGUCUCCGAAAUACAGUGGCGGUCUCGCCGCAGCCUCUCCUGCGCAGUAGUUUGCACACUCGCAUCGGGAGCGCGGCGCGUCCACAGCCGUUAAACACCCAACUUCUGAAAUGUUGACCUCGGAUCAGGUAGGAAUACCCGCUGAACUUAAGCAUAUCAAUAAGCGGAGGAAAAGAAACCAACAGGGAUUGCCCCAGUAACGGCGAGUGAAGCGGCAACAGCUCAAAUUUGAAAUCUGGUCCCUAGGGCCCGAGUUGUAAUUUGUAGAGGAUGCUUUUGGUGAGGUGCCGCCCGAGUUCCCUGGAACGGGACGCCACAGAGGGUGAGAGCCCCGUCUGGCUGGCCGCCGAGCCUCUGUAAAGCUCCUUCGACGAGUCGAGUAGUUUGGGAAUGCUGCUCAAAAUGGGAGGUAUAUGUCUUCUAAAGCUAAAUAUUGGCCAGAGACCGAUAGCGCACAAGUAGAGUGAUCGAAAGAUGAAAAGCACCUUGAAAAGAGGGUUAAAUAGUACGUGAAAUUGUUGAAAGGGAAGCGCUUGUGACCAGACUUGGGCGCGGCGGAUCAUUCCGGGGUUCUCUCCGGUGCACUUCGCCGCGUCUAGGCCACAUCAGUUCGUCCCGGGGGGAAAAAGGUUUCCGGAACUGGUCCCUCCCGCGAAGUGUUUAAGCCCGUUGCAAAAACCCUGCGGGGGAAUGAGGACCGCAUUUC